Microcebus murinus (gray mouse lemur) is the source of this 355-nucleotide non-coding RNA. Lineage: Eukaryota; Metazoa; Chordata; Mammalia; Primates; Cheirogaleidae. The record is from RefSeq and is a predicted model, not a curated record.
CCUCUUUCCUUGGCCUCCCAAAACACCAGCAUUACAAGCAUGAGCCAUGGUGGUCGCUCAAAAGUAACUUUUCUACAUAAGAAGAUGUAACUGACCUGAAUUUGAGUUACUGCCACACAGACUUUGAAGAUGAGACCAUGCACUAAUUUGCUAUACCCCAAGAAUGCGUAAUUGCAGUGGAGUUUCAAAGUUACUCUGGCCUUGAGAACAACUUUGAGAAAGAGAGGAAAAAAAAAAGAAAAAGAAAAUAGUUGGCAGCGCAUUAAGGACACAAGGCAGAGAAAAAUGUAGGUUCCUGAAAUGUUUAAGGGUGAUGGAAAUCAUCUACUUUUGGGAACUGCCUAACAGAAUUUAG